AUUUUUUUUGUCCCUUGAUUGUCUGUGGAUAGAGGGGAAAAAAUUCUGACUAUUCUUCAUGUAUUGAUUAUAUAUUUGCUUAUGAGUGACAAAGUAUAUUCAAACUUUCUUGUGAUCCAAGUUUUUUCUGUGAUUUCAGCUUUUUACUGCUCUCCAAUCAACAGAGAUCAGCCUCUGCAACUGAUCACCAUGUGAGAUCCACCUAAUUGACUGUGCUUCACCAACAGACCAUUCCUGGCAGCCUUGGGUCUGAAACAGAUAUGUCGGUUGGAAACUCCAGCAGGAUGUGUAUAUUUCAGUUUUAAGCAGAUUUCCAUGGGAUCCUAGUUGGCUUUGGAGACUGAAGAAGGAGGAAACAACUCUGUGAAGUGAACAUCUGCUAGAGUCGUGAAUGGCUUUGGGGAUGAGCUCAUCAGCAGCUUUGCAGGACAGCUCCCGGACAAAGAUUGGAAUUGCUACAACUUCCAUCUAGGGACCAAAGAAAAAUUCUUUUAAUUUCAUUUUUGACUUUUUAAUACAGGUGGGUAAAACAAUUUAAUAGAGACGCAAAAAAAUAAAAGGUUGAUAAAAUUAAAUUUAGCUCUAGAAUUAGAUAGUCAAUGAUGGCACAUAAUUCCAAAAUAUUAGGCCUGAUAGUAGAUUCAGAAUUUGUUAAUAAUAAAGGAUCAAAGUGAUGACGACAAGAACAAGGUAAAUCACAUUUUAUUGUUUUAAGACAAUGAUUUUGUGCCAGAAUUAACUGAGGCU
Loxodonta africana (African savanna elephant) is the source of this 747-nucleotide long non-coding RNA. RefSeq lists it as uncharacterized. Lineage: Eukaryota; Metazoa; Chordata; Mammalia; Proboscidea; Elephantidae. The transcript has 3 exons. The record is from RefSeq and is a predicted model, not a curated record.